GAGGCUGUAGCUCAGUGGUGGAGCACUUGCCUUGCACAUAUGAGGCACUGGGUUCAACCCUCAGCACCACA
RNAcentral lists this transfer RNA (71 nucleotides) under Marmota monax (woodchuck). RNAcentral's name for it is "tRNA.Ala". The stretch from base 6 to 66 matches the Rfam family "tRNA", at positions 6 to 65 of the family's 71-position model. Rfam says of the family: Transfer RNA (tRNA) molecules are approximately 80 nucleotides in length. The record is from RNAcentral. Lineage: Eukaryota; Metazoa; Chordata; Mammalia; Rodentia; Sciuridae.